Molecule: long non-coding RNA, 1021 nt
Filed under: Toxoplasma gondii VEG
Lineage: Eukaryota; Apicomplexa; Conoidasida; Eucoccidiorida; Sarcocystidae
Source: RNAcentral
GUGAAAGUUUACGUUAGCCCGCCGUAUUCGAGCCUCGCAGAAUUCUGACUGGGUCAACACUGAGACGGCAGCGCCGAUAAAACUGUGUACAACUAUAUUUCGGGUUGCUGACCUGUCGGCUUGUUUCGGACUCGAGCCCUAGACAAAUAACAUGGUCGUGCCAGCGUGACGGUCAUCUCAGGGACAGGAACAGGUUACACACACUUGUGCCUCAAGUGACGGCAAUUACCACAAACACAAAAAGACGGAAAACACGUAUUCUGAGCUGCAGGACGCGAGAUCUUAAUUCGAGGACCAUCGUGAAUCAAAGCUCAAAACACACGAGCCAGAACAGUAACUUGAUUCAACAGCUCACGCAGCUUAGUACGUCUUGGACGUAGUGCACUUUGCUGUUCAAACACGUGCAUUAGCUGAGACUCGUCCCACAGCAGGUGAAUCACCUGAAACGCGAAGGUUUCGUUUCAGUCUGUUUCCUUACUUAGGAACUUGCACUGCAUCUUUCACCAGUCGAGAACGACUAUUUUGUGGAUGUUAGUAUUCUUUUGAGCAAAUUCGGUACUGUGGCGGCAUCAGCGAGACUUUACAGCGGCGAACAGGUGGAUCUCCCGCUAAGGUGGGGAGUACGCCCGUGAGAGGCGCCGGCGAUAGACAUCUCUCAUGUCGCGUGAUUCGUUUGUUUCAAACACCGUGAGGAUGCAGUUAACACCUAAUCGCCCGUUCUAGAGGGGUUGUAGGGCGGUGGUUGAGGUGGGGCUGAAGAGUGGCCCAAACGUUGUUUAGUUGUUUAUCUUAACCUCUUUGCUAGGACCAGGUGUGUCUGAUCUGGAACCUUGACACCAUAGGCUUCUUCCCGCACACCGUGCUACAGUGACAUCUGGACCUGUGGGUUUGGAACGAGCUGGUGUCCAUGCCCACCACGGUUCCGUUGGACCGGGGUGCUUAUGGAGUGUGAUGGCUGAACAAGGCGGCGGCCAGGAAUACGCAAGGUCAUCAGUCGGAAUGGACUGCUGCACUGAUCGAG